Molecule: long non-coding RNA, 2587 nt
Filed under: Homo sapiens (human)
Lineage: Eukaryota; Metazoa; Chordata; Mammalia; Primates; Hominidae
Description: non-protein coding lnc-KCNQ4-7:4
Source: RNAcentral
CUCCUUCGCACCCCGGGCGCCUGGGAACCUCCUCGCGCGUUUGGCCACUCGCUGCUCCUGGCAGUAGGGGCUUCGGGCCCCGCCGCUGUCCCCACCCAGACCUCUGGGCCUGUGGUGGGAGGGACUGAGGAAGAUCUCUGAAAUGCCCUGGAGACAUUUUCCCUACUGUCUUGACACGUGUCCCAAGCAGCCCUCCUUGGCAAAUCUACAUUUCCUUACCCAACCAGGACCUGUGGCAAACAGUCUGGCCUCUCCUUGUCCUAAUUCCAAAGUUCAGGAAUCUGACUGGCCCAGCCUGGCCUCUAGAGUGGUUGCCUGUGAGUCAGGUACCUGCUUCUGCCCCAGUUAACUGGACAAGGAGGCUGGGCUGCAUAGAAGAACCAAGGACCCAGGAGACUCCCUGGGCUUGUGGGCUGAGCAGGUACCUACUGAAGAAACCUGAAGAAAACUGAAGAAACCUACUUCAGUUUGGCCGGUCCUGGGGACUAGGAGCAGGCCAGGCUAUACUCCAGUGCCCCUUCAGACAAUUGGUGAAGGGCCAUUAAACAGAAAAAAAAAAAAGUUGGUGAGGAAGAAAAAGGCUCAAUUAAAAAGCUCCAAAUAUGACCCUGCUCUACUACUGUGAACUGAGUACUAUGUGCUUGGAUGUGUUAAGGACGGAGGCCAUUGCCAUGUGAAGAAGAAGCAAGUCACUAAGUCCAGUCCGCACCAAAGGGGAAAAGAAUUAAGUCCCACUUCCCAGAGGAGGUGUAUCAAAGAAUCUGUGGACAUCUGUUAAAACCACCAUGGUCAUUAAUAUUUUGAAGAAAAUGCUUUAAGGCUAUCCAAAUGUUGUGUUGCUCCUUAACAUUUCAUUCACUCUUUUAGCAUUCAUCAGUGGAUCUUGCCUUUUUAACAUAAAUAAUGUCACAUUAGCCAUUGUUUGACAAAAUACAUAAUGUCAAUAAGCUAUUGUGAAAUCAGGUCUUGUAUUGUACUAACCACAAUAAAAUCUACACGGUCUAGAUGAAUUUAAAAGGUAUUGCAUUCAGGGCUGAUUCAGAGCUGGGACCUGUGGCCAUAUUAGCUUAAUUAUUGAAAUACAUCUGUCCCUACUCUGUUCUAAGUCCCAUUUCUGCCCAACUCUUGGGAAACCUCUCCACAGUUAAAAACAACUUUCUAGACAUUUCUGUUAAGUAUACUGUGGUAUUAUGACAUAUAUUGGUUUUUGUGCACAGUUCCGGGUUCAUAACUCCCAUAGCCCUUGUUACAGUCUUUUGUUACAAUGUUGGGCGUGUUAGGCCUCAGGGGCAGGCCUCAGGAAACAGAAUCUCUCUUUCUUCUGCCCUCCUUUCAUCUGCCCCAAGGCAGGCCUCUAAUCUACCCCCACCUUUCUGACUAUGAGUAUUAAGACCCUGUACACACUGAGGAAAGGAAUGCUGAUGUCAUGAAGCUUCUAUAAAAACCCAAAAGGGCCAGGUGUGGUGGCUCACACCUGUAACCCCAGCACUUUGGGAGGCUGAGGUGGAAGGCUUGAGCCCAGGAGUUUGAAACUAGCCUGGGCAACAUAAUGGAACCUGGCCUCUACCAAAAAAAAAAUUAAAAAAUUAGCCAGGCAUGAUGGUAAAAGUCUUUAGUCCUAGCUACUUGGGUGGCUGAGGUAGGAGGAUCACUUGAGCCCAGGAGGUCAAGGCUGCAGUGAGCUGUUAUCCAUGCCACUGCACUCCAGCCUGGGCCACAGAGCAAAAACUUGUCUACAAAAAAAGAGAAAACAUGGCCAGGCACAGUGGCUCAAGCCUGUAAUCCCAGCACUUUGGGAGGCCAAGACAGGAGGAUCACCUGAGGUCAGGAGUUCUAGACCAGCCUGGUCAACAUGGCGAAACCCCAUCUCUAGUAAAAACACAAAAAAUUAGCUGGGCGUGGUGGUGGGCGCCUGUAGUCCCAGCUACUUGGGAGGCUGAGGCAGGACAAUCUCUUGAACCUGGGAGGCAGAGGUUGCAGUGAGCCGAGAUCAUGUCACUCCACUCCAGCUUGGGCAACAGAGCAAGACUCUGUCAAAAAAAAAGAAAGAAAGAAGGAAAGAAGGAAGGAAGGAAAGAAGGGAGGGAGGGAAGGAGAAAGGAAGGAAGGAGAAGAGAGAGAAAGAGAGAGAAAGAAAAUAAAAAUAAAAAACAAAACAAAAAUACCCAAGAGGACUGGGUUGGGAGAGCUCCGGGUAGCUGAACACGUGGAGGUUCCUGGAGGGUGAUGUGCCCAGGGAGGACAUGGAAGCUCUGAGUCCCUUCUCCCAUACUUUGCCCUCCACGUCUCUUCAUCUGUAUCCCUUGUAACAUCCUUUAUAAUAAAGCAGUUAACAUGUUUCCCUGAGUUCUGUGAGCCGCUCCUGCAAAUUAAUCCAACCCAAAAAGGGGGUCAUGGGACCACAACUUGAAGCCAAUCCCCGCACUGGCUUCAGGAAGUUUUGGAGGCCCGGACUUGCAACUAUUUCCCAGGGACUAGGGAAAAAGAGAAGAGAAGUGUCUAGGGAUGGGAGGACCGUCCUGGGGACUGAGCUCUCAACUGUGGGAUCUCACGUUAUCUGCAAAGAGACAGUGUUGGAAUUGAAUUG